This 473-nucleotide ribosomal RNA is filed under the name Legionella pneumophila. RNAcentral describes it as "partial 23S ribosomal RNA". It matches the Rfam family "Bacterial large subunit ribosomal RNA", at positions 1267 to 1735 of the family's 2925-position model. Lineage: Bacteria; Pseudomonadati; Pseudomonadota; Gammaproteobacteria; Legionellales; Legionellaceae. The record is from RNAcentral.
AGUGUGCUGGAGGUAUCAGAAGUGCGAAUGCUGACAUGAGUAACGAUAAUGUGGGUGAAAAGCCCACACGCCGGAAGUCCCAGGUUUCCUGCACGACGUUAAUCGGAGCAGGGUGAGUCGGCCCCUAAGGCGAGGCUGAAGAGCGUAGUCGAUGGGAACCAGGUUAAUAUUCCUGGACUUUUUAUAAGUGGUGAAGUGGGGACGAAGAAGGCUAGGUGAGCCAGGCGUUGGUUGUCCUGGUACUUGCAUGUAGGGGGGAAGACUUGGCAAAUCCGGUUUUCCAUAACUCUGAGGUGCGAAGUGGUUCUGACCUUUUGGUACAGAGAAGUCAUUGAUGCCCGGCUUCCAGGAAAAGCUGCUAGCCAUAACUUAUAGAGAACCGUACCGCAAACCGACACAGGUGGACAGGUAGAGAAUACUAAGGCGCUUGAGAGAACUCGGGUGAAGGAACUAGGCAAAAUGGUACCGUAACU